Molecule: ribosomal RNA, 506 nt
Filed under: uncultured bacterium
Lineage: Bacteria
Description: partial 16S ribosomal RNA
Rfam family: Bacterial small subunit ribosomal RNA
Source: RNAcentral
AGUGAACGCUGGCGGUAGGCCUAACACAUGCAAGUCGAACGGCAGCACAGAGGAGCUUGCUACUUGGGUGGCGAGUGGCGGACGGGUGAGGAAUACAUCGGAAUCUACUCUGUCGUGGGGGAUAACGUAGGGAAACUUACGCUAAUACUGAAUACGACCUACGGGUGCAAGCAGGGGAUCUUCGGACCUUGCGCGAUUGACUGAGCCGAUGUCGGAUUAUCUCGUUGGCGGGGUAAAGGCCCACCAAGUCGACUAUCCGUAGCUGGUCUGAGAGGAUGAUCAUCCACACUGGAACUGAGACACGGUCCAGACUCCUACGGGAGGCAGCAGUGGGGAAUAUUGGACAAUGGGCGCAAGCCUGAUCCAGCCAUACCGCGUGGGUGAAGAAGGCCUUCUGGUUGUAAAGCCCUUUUGUUGGGAAAGAAAUCCAUCUGGUUAAUACCCGGGUGGGAUGACGGUACCCAAAGAAUAAGCACCGGCUAACUUCGUGCCAGCCGCCGCAGUAA